CUCCAUCACCUGUUUUCAGGGAGAACAGCAUUUACUAUACAGAGCUGUAGUUCUGUCAUUUUAUCUUCAUGGGACCGAGAUGGCUUAUGGUGUCCGUGAGGAGCAGAGAUUGAGAGGUAGCCUACAGAAGAGUUUAAAAGUUUCUCAUUGCUGGUUUGAUUUCAAGACUCAACUUGCUCAUUAACAAUGCAGCAGAGAAUUACAAGAAGAAGUCGAUAACACCGCCACAAUCAGCUUUAACACAGAGGAUUGGGCUCAGGUGAAUAGCAUGGGACUUCUCUCUAGGCUGACAAACAGACAGGACCAUACAGCACACCUGUGGGACUCGGGAAGACCACUUCAUCCCAUUGUGAACAUGACCAAUGAAAAGAAAUAUCCUAUCAAGCAGGCUUUUGUCUGUGCGAUGCUAUAGGAGAGUGGUAUUUGUCUGGCUCUCUCAUCGCAGUGAAGCUAGCUCAAUUACAUUAUCUUGUGCUAAAGGUCUGGAAUCUCUGAAAGCACAGAAUGCCAUACCCAAUCCCCAAUCUGUUCCUGUGCAUGGACAAGAGUAGGACAUUGAAGUACUUGCCAACAUAGGAAAGUUACAAGUUCUUGAAAUCAGAUUAAACAUCCAAUUAAAAAGUUGAUUUACAAAUGUAAAAGUUGAUUUGAUUUUAUAAAUAAUAAUGAAAUAAAAUAAUACAAACAAUGCAAUUAUUUUAAUUAAAUUGAUAAAGCAUUCAAUUGAGCAUUUAAUUCCAUUUUUUUUCUUUUAUUAUUAUUAUUAUUUUAAAAUCUAGCCAGUAAAUCUGAAGCGCUACUAUACUACAAAACCAUUAUAAAUUAAUUUUAAAACAACAUGUUAUGAAUAUAGGAAUUCUUUCUUCUUUCAUUUAGUUAUUUUUCCCCUAAAAAUCUGCAAUAGGGUCCCAGCUGGUCUAGGAAACAAUACAAAAUAACCACAAUUAAUUUGUGCCUCAGUGUGUUGGACAGAGCUUGAUUCAUUGAGCCUCUCCCUUUUGUCGAGACACCCUUAAAACUCCGCAACCUUCUGUCUAUCUAUUCUUUAACAGAUAUAUAGUUAUCUAGAUAUAGAGUGUGUAUAGGUGAGAUUUAUGUUCAGCCUAAUGCAUACAUUUGCUGGUCAGCCUAAUCGGCAUUUCGUGUGGCCGGUCGGGAAAUGGGAGAAACGGUAAACCUGUGAUGCUCUGAUAGGGGAUUCCUGCAGGCCUGAUUAGAUCUAGGGCAUGUUUGUCUUCCAGUAACAGGAAUUACAUGAUUUGUAAGUGGGCCUGGCUUCCAGCAGCUUUUGAGUAUUAAUUCCCACCCACAGCCUGAGGAGAAAGCAUUAAAGAGCCGGGAACUUAUAAAUAGCAGUCAGUAAGACACCAUAUACUUUGAGGGUUUGAUGCCUGAUGCAUAGAUCUCUAGAAGGUGAAUGG
Carassius gibelio (silver crucian carp) is the source of this 1421-nucleotide long non-coding RNA. RefSeq lists it as uncharacterized. The record is from RefSeq and is a predicted model, not a curated record. Lineage: Eukaryota; Metazoa; Chordata; Actinopteri; Cypriniformes; Cyprinidae. The transcript is spliced from 4 exons.